CGGGAGUUGUAAAUUAUGGAUAGAUGUUCGUUUCGAGUUUAUUGCAUAAAUUUAGUCGUAAUUCCGAUUUACAAAAAAUAAUUGUGUCGUUUCCUUUAUUUAGGAGGAUCCGUGAGCGAGAACCGGUCCGCGGACGUGGACGAUAACCGAGCAUGAGCACCGUCACUGUGAGUGGAAUAUACAAAAUCUAUUUUCAUAGUUAUAUGAUAGUAAAGCAUGUUUGCGAAAUAAGUAUUUUAAAUGUUCUGAUUUAAUGAUUCCCUCGAAAUGGAUUUUAUUCACGUAUUGGUAUUUUAUUAAACUGUUUGGUUAAUGAUUCUGCGUAUCGACUUUGAAUAAAGUAUGAUAGUAUUUUAAAGAUAAGAAAAGUGGAUUCAAAUGUGGUAUGAUUUAAAGUAUGGUUAAAAGGUAUGUGAAUAUGAGUAUAGUGAUUGUUUUUUAAAUCAUUAGACAGUACCCUUUCCUCCAGAUACAGUGAUAUAGAUGAGAUGAGAGGCCUUUGGGGCCCAUCUGAACACACAUAGAGGCUUUGGGCUGUGUAUUUGGGCGAUUUUGCCUUUUGGGGGCAUAUGCAUAUGGUAUGAUGAUUACAGAGAUACAAACAGAUAUUGAGAUACAGAUGAUACAGAUGAGAUGCAGGCCUUUUGGGCCCGUCUGAGUACACACAGAGGCUUUGGCCCGUGUGCUUGAGCGCUUUUGUCCUUUUGGGACUAAAUUAUGUAUGCACAGAUUUGAUGAGAUAUGAGAGGGUAUUUCCCUGUCUAUCCGUGUAGCUCUGGGGCGUGACGGUACCCAGAUAGUACGUCAUUGCCCGUCCGUUGAGGUCCGGAUAUGAUGAGAUUAUUUCCCUGGCUACUUGUUUAGUGAUGAUUUUCAUUCUUGUGUAUUCUAUAUGAUAUUGUGAUAUGAUUUCCAUGAUUAUUACGUAUGAUCGUUAUAUAUGCUUUUCAUGGUUAGUAAUCUGGUUUAAGUGUUAAAUGAUUUAUUACUGGUUUCUCGCUUAUGGUUUGAUGAAAUCGUGUUUGAAAAUGAUAUGAUUAUUUCUUUUAAAGUAAGAAUUAAUUUUUAAAAACUACUAUCCACUCACUCAUCUCAUUGAGUUUUAAACUCACCCGUUUUUAUUAUAUUUUCCUCCCCACCAGGAGGUUGCAGGUACACCAGACCGACCCAGCGACUGUAAAUAUAUUUUGAGUCUUGGCCACGUGAUGGUGUUAGAAGAUAUAGAUGUUUUUGUUAGGACAUCUUGGUCAUCUUGUUCUUUUGGGAUUGUAUAAUUUUGUUAUAUUAUUCUUUCGGGAUUAAUAAUAAACUGAGAUAUUAAUAUUACUUAUAAUAUUAUCUUUUGAGAUUCUGGAGAUAUAAACUCAGCAUUUUGGUUAAGGAUGUUGAUCACUGGAGUUUGUUGUAUAUUGAAUUAUAUUGGGAGUGUUAUAUUCAUAUUUGUAGAUUGGGAGUGUUAUAUAUAUAAAAGAGACUUUGCCGAAUUUUUGGCAGAAUCCUUACUAACUAGAUUAUUAUCAAGUUCGUUUUGAUGAGACUAGAUUGACUCGCCCAGGGGGAAUUCGGGGCGGGUCGUUUCAGUUGGUAUCAAAGCAUGGUUUUAGAUUCUGUAGACUUUACUAUCUUAAUAAGAAUAAGUUUUAUAUUUAUUAAAGUUAGAAUUUAUAUCUUGUAUGCACCAUCAUGCUUCGUCGUAGCAGUAAACGUGGUCGUGGUCGUACUAGGCCAAUAGCUAGGUUGACUUCUGGUAGUGUACCUGCGAGGAAAGUGAACCCGCGAAUGAGGGGGUAGUUGAAUCCUCCACGCAUGAAAUCGCACAACAGCCACCGGGGAAUGCCCUGAAUAUCGAGCAGUCAUUUGAUAAGUUGGCUUAGAUCAUGACUACAGUUGUGCAAAAUCAGACUCAAGCGCAUGUCGGUAACACAAACACUAUUGAGCGAGUGAGGAGUUUAGGGGCGAGGACCUUUAAUGGUUCUGGAGAACUACCUGAGGCUGAGUCAUGGUUUGUUAAGUUAGAGCAAAUUUUUGACGUGAUGAAGUGUUCGGAGGAUGACAGACUAUCCGUCGCCACUUUCCUGCUCGAGGAUAAAGCUUACCAUUGGUGGCAGACAGUGGAGAGAUGAUAUCAAGGGCAUGCUGCGAUUACUUGAGCUAUUUUCCAUAAGGAAUUCUACGAUCAUUAUUUUCCUAUUGUAUAUCAGGAUAUUAAACGGAGUGAAUUCUUUCGGUUGGUUCAGGGAUCUCUGACAGUAGGAGUAUGAGAAGAAAUUUUUAGACCUCUCUAGAUUUGCUACAUCUGUAGUCGGUGAUGAGAGAGAGAGAUGCAGACAGUUCGAGGAUGGCCUCCGAUUUAAGAUUCGCACCACCGUGACUGCAUCGCGAUAUACUGAGUUUGGAGAGGUAGUUGAGGCAGCCAAGAGAGUAGAGCACAGUAUUUCAGAAGGACGUGGAGUUCAUGCACUGAAGCAGAAGCGUAGCCAGAGCUGGGCAGAGGGUGGCUCUAGUAGUAGGCCGCCCAAGAGAGGGGGUAUUCCUACAAGUUUUUCUGAUAGUACGCAAAGGAGUCAGGGUACAAGCUUCAGGGGAGACGCGAGACAGGCUAUCAGUCAUAGCCCAGUGCAACCAUCAGUGGGGAGUAAUACCAAGAAUCGGGGACAGUACGACCGCAGUGGUGGGGGAUAUCGUGAUGAUCGUUCUAGGAGUGUCCAGCAGACUUCUUGCCAUUCAUGUGGUAGGAAUCAUCAGGGCCAGUGUCGCAUUGGAGACAGAGUUUGUUAUUUGUGUGGUCAGCCUGGACACAUCAGGAGAUUCUGCCCUACUUUAUCUUAGGGUGAUAGCUCUGUAGCAAGGACAACCUCACGGUAUCAGCCUUACUCUGGCCAGACUCAGGGUCAGAGAGGAGUGUAGACAAGAGGUUCUACAUCUACCUUUAGGAGUCAGAUGACUGCUCCAGGUCAGAGAGGGCAGCCUGAUCGACCUCAUACUCAUGCUCGAGUUUUUGCUUUGACGCAACAGGAGGCACGUGUUGCACUAGAAGUUAUUAUGGGUAUAUUAUCUAUCCUUGGCCGCGAGGCUUGUAUUCUUAUUGAUCUUGGAUCCACACACUCUUUCGUUUCCCGUACUUUUGCUAUGCACAUAAGGCGAGAGCCCAAACUGUUAGAUUGUGGUUUAGUUGUUCGUACACCUACUAGAGAGUCAUUACUUGCUGAGAGUGUGUAUCAAGAUUGUAUGAUUGGAAUAGGUGAACAUGAAUUUGAGGCGAAUUUGAUUUCCUUAGGCAUUUAUGACUUUGAUGUUAUUUUGGGCAUGGAUUGGCUUGAAUUUCAUUAUGCUACGGUGGAUUGUUUCAAAAAGGAAGUUUGUUUAAAAAGCUAGGGAAAACUGAAGUGAAAUUCUGUGGGGAGCGCAAAGUUCUACCUUCAUGUGUUAUAUCUUCCAUUAGUGCAAGACGGUUGCUAAAAAAAUGAUGCUCAUCUUAUUUAGCUCAUGUGAUAGAUACAGAAGCUCGAGAAUUGAGAUUGGAGGAUAAUGCAGUAGUCAAAGAAUUUCCAAAUGUAUUUCCAGACGAACUUCGUGGGAUGCCACCUAAUAGGGAAGUUGAGUUUUCUAUUGACUUAGUCCCUAGAACAUCUCCUAUAUCUAUGGCACCAUACAGGAUGGCUCCAGCAGAGUUGAAGGAACUGAAGGUUCAAUUGCAAGAGUUGGUGGAGAAAGGGUUUAUUAGACCUAGUGUGUCCCCGUGGGGAGCUCCAGUCUUGUUUGUUAAGAAAAAUGAUGGGACUUUUAGACUCUGCGUUGACUACAAGUAGUUGAACAAAGUUACGGUAUGCAAUAAGUAUCCAUUUCCAUGCAUUGAUGACUUGUUUGAUCAACUCCAUGAGGCGAAAGUAUUUUCUAAGAUCGAUUUGCGCUCAGGUUACCAUCAGCUUAGAAUUAAAGACGUCGAUGUUCCGAAAACGGCAUUUAGAACCCGUUAUGGACAUUAUGAGUUCUUAGUGAUGCCAUUUGGGUUGACAAAUGCUCCAGCUGCUUUUAUGGACCUUAUGAAUAGGGUAUUUUGCCCUUAUCUAGAUCGGUUUGUGAUUGUAUUCAUUGAUGAUAUCUUGGUGUAUUCUUGAAGUGAGGAGGUGCAUGCAGAGCAUUUGUGGACUAUUUUACAGACUUUGAAGCAAAAGCAGUUGUAUGCCAAGUUCAGCAAGUGCGAGUUCUGGUUGGACAAAGUAGUAUUUUUUGGCCAUGUGAUAUUAGCAGAAGGUAUUUAUGUUGAUCCUCAAAAGAUUGAAGCAGUUGUGAAAUGGGAACGGCCUACAAAUGUCACAGAGGUUCUGAGUUUUCUUGGAUUAGCUGGUUAUAAUCGUAGAUUUGUGGAGGGAUUCUCUAAGAUUGCUACUCCUAUGACACGAUUAACCAGAAAGAAUGCUAAGUUUAAGUGAGAUAAUGAUUGUGAAAAGAGUUUUCAAGAACUUAAGACAUGUUUGACCUCAGCACCAGUUCUUACACUUCCAUCUGGUAAUGAAGGAUUUGUGGUAUACAGCGAUGCCUCUAGGCAGAGAUUAAGUUGUGUGUUAAUGUAGCAUGGGAAAGUGGUGGCUUAUGCUUCUAGACAACUUAAGAAGCAUGAACAAAACUACCCAACACAUGACCUAGAACUAGCAGUAGCGGUGUUUGCACUCAAGACAUGGAGGCAUUACUUAUAUGGGACAACAUGUCAGAUUUUCACUGAUCAUAAGAGCCUGAAGUAUUUGUUUACUCAGAAGAAGUUGAAUUUGAGACAGAGGAGAAGGAUUGAGUUAAUUAAGGACUACGAUUGCACUAUCGAUUAUCAUCCGGGUAAAGCAAAUGUGGUGGCUGAUGCACUAAGUAGAAAGUCGUCCAGCUCUCUAGCUCACUUGCGAGUGAAAUGUGUGCCUCUGUUGAUCGAGUUGAGAUCUUUGGGAGUCAAGUUGAACGCCGACAAUUGUGGAGCUUUGAUAGCUAAUUUUCAAGUUAGGCCGACUUUGAUUGACAAAGUUCACCAGAUGCAAGCUCAGGACCCAUAGUUAAUGAAGUUGAAAGAGGAUGUACAUAAAGGUUUACGAACCGAUUUUAUGGUGAGAGAUGAUGGAAUCUUAGUAAUGGGUAAGAAUCUGAAAGAAGAAAUUAUGGAAUAAGCUCACUGUUCAGCAUAUGCGAUGCAUCCUGGUAGUACGAAGAUGUAUCACACCCUGAGGGAUCAUUAUUGGUGGCAGGGCAUAAAGAGAGAGAUAGCAGAAUUUGUUUCUCAAUGUUUAGUCUGUCAGCAGAUUAAGGCUGAACACCAUAGGCCUGCAAGGUGUUCUCAACCGCUUCUUAUUCCUGAGUGGAAGUAGGAGCACAUCACUAUGGAUUUUGUAGCAGGACUUCCAUGUACUCAGAAAGGACAUGAUAAUGUUUGGGUGGUUGUUGAUCGACUUACAAAAUCUACUCACUUCUUACCAUUCAAAACCACAUAUUCGAUGGACAAGUUAGGGAGUAUUUAUGUGGCUGAGAUAGUUCGACUUCACGGAGUACCCGUGUCCAUAGUUUCAGAUAGAGAUUCCUGGUUUACUUCUAAGUUCUGGACCAGUUUGCAAAAUGCUUUCGGCACCAAGUUGAAUUUUAGUACAGCUUUUCAUCCACAGACUGAUAGACAGUCAGAGCGUAUUAUUCAAACUCUGGAGGAUAUGUUGUGAGCUUGUGUUAUGGAGUUUAAAGGUAAUUGGGACAAUCAUUUACCUCUGACGGAGUUUGCUUACAACAACAGAUAUCAAGCUAGUAUCGAGAUGGCACCAUAUGAGGCUUUGUAUGGUAGGAAAUGCAGGACUCCAGUAUGUUGGGAUGAGGUUGGUGAGCGGAGGUUAUUCGGUCCAGAACUAGUCCAGGAUACUAACGAGUGAAAUACAAGUGUGCAACCCAAGAGGGGGGGUGAAUUGGGAUUCUAAAAAUUAUUGGAUUCUAAAACAAAUUAUCAUGCAAAUCUAAAAUGAAUUUAAUGGAAUAACAAUUAAAUCAAUUACAAUAUAAAAAGAUAAGGGAAGAGAGAUUCAAACACGAAGAGUUUUACGUGGUUCGGCCAACCUCGCCUACGUCCACGCCUCCAAGCUUUCCGGGCUUGAGGAUUUCACUAAGCAAGCCUCCAAGGCUUCAAAUGCUUACACUUGACUUCGAAGGUGUCAAUGAACCUUUACAACAAGAGAUUAUCCCCAAUCUCUUAACCUAAGUGUAUCUCAACACUUCCAAUCACUCAAAGUAAAAGAUUAAAAAUUAUUUUUCUCUCACACAAUAUUUAAGAUUACAAAUCAAUGCCCAAUGUGUGAAUAGAUGAAGUAAGAAUGUGUUUUAAAGCUCUAUGAAGAUUGUAUUCUCGAAUAUAAGCUCAAUGGUCGUGUUGUGAUCAAUCUUGUUUGAAUUUGAAUGAGCUUAUUUAUAGUUGGAGCUGAAAACUAGCCGUUAUUGACUUUCUGCUCAUUGUCGGAUCGCCGUUAACUAGAUGUCAGAUCUCCGUUUGACUGGUCAAUAUGAUCGUUGGGCUGAAUUUUCAAAUUGUCGGAUCGCCGUUAUCUAUAUGUCGGAUCGCCGUUAUCUAUAUGUCGGAUCGCCGUUAUCUAUAUGUCGGAUCGCCGUUAGUGUCCAGAGACUAAUCUUCAAUUCUGUUCGAUGUCGGCGAGCCAUUAUCAAGAUGUUGGAUUGCUGUUUUCUACAGUAACUGCUACAGUGAACUAUUUUUAUAAAAUUAUAGUUUGACCCCAAAACUUUGUAAAAUUAUACUAUGACCCAAAACUGUAUAAAAGUUGUCAAUUAGGUCCAUUUUCAGGAUUUUAAGCAAUACUUGUUAUUAUAAAAAUGUCAAAGCUUUUUCAAUUGAAACCUUUAACAUGAGAAUAACCAAAAAUAUUUUCAUAGAAUAUAAAGCCUUUAUAAAGUGAGAAUGAUGAUUUAAAAGUAUAUGAAAACUAUUUUGGGCUUUUAAAAGAUUAAUCAAUCUUAAUCAAGUUUGUUAUCAUCAAAAUCAAUAAUAAAGAAAUAUUUAUGUUAACAACGAGAAGAUAUAAUUGAUCCGAGAUAGAUUAAAGGUGGCCCAAGAUAGACAGAAGAGUUAUGCAGACAAGCAUAGCCGGGAACUUGAAUUCGAAGUUGGUGAUAGAGUUUUCAUACAGAUAUCUCCUUGAAAAUGGGUGCUUCGAUUUGGGAAACGUGGGAAGCUAAGUCCACAUUACAUUGGGCCAUAUGAGAUCAUCGAGCGUAUUGGUCCGUUAGCUUACCGAUUAGCUCUACCACCCAAGUUAUCCAGAAUCCACGAUGUGUUUCAUGUCUCAAUGCUCUGGAAGUACAUAUAUGACCCGAGUCAUGUGUUAUCGAAGCAACCAAUUCAGUUGAAGGAAGAUUUGACUUACGAAGAGGAACCAGUGGAGAUACUGGAAGAGAAACACCAAGUUCUGCAUUCUAAGACCAUUCCUCUAGUAAAAGUACGGUGGAGGAAUCAUACAAAGGAAAAGGCUACCUGGGAACGCGAGAAUUUAAUGUGAGCUCAAUAUCCCUAUCUUUUCUUAUCAGGUACGUAAAUUUUGAGGACGAAAUUUUUAUAAGGGGGGAGGAUUGUAACAUAUGUGAAUUAAAAAUGAAAUGUAGGCGGUUAAAGACUUUAUUAAAAAGAAUAGAAUAAGCUAGAAAUAGGGAACAUAUACCACACGUGUGAGAGUAACAGAAGGUAUCAACAGACCCGAAAACCCGACCCAGAACCCGCGAACGUGACUCGGCCAUAUCUCUCAUUUCCGGCCACCGUUUCGGCCGAGCUUGGUACCAAUCUGAAGCUUAGCACCCGGUCGUCGUUCCCCUGCCAUCCUUGCCACUGAAACCUAACCGGAACGCCGGCGAUUGAAGAUUGAAAACCCGCAACUGUUUUGCUUUGUUUCGCCGGGAUUUUCACCGAAUUUGGGUGACACCACCGGUUGGAUUUUGUUCCUCAUGACUCCCUCUUCCAUUUCCGACCAUCCACCGCCGCCGGGGACAUCGUUUUUUCGUUGAUCAGCCGUUGAAGGACUUACGGCUUUGGGAACUCGAUCCGGAGCCAUCGUCGCGCAUGGGAGGUCACCACUGCCACCAUUCGACUCAGUGUGGCUAGAACUUUCAGACUCGUGCUUCCCAGCUAGCGUUGACCAAAUUUUGGUGACCGUUGACCGGCAAGGGCAUUUGGGUAAUUUCACACUAUGAGGGCAAUUUUGUAAUUUUUGAGCAUGCGGAUAUUUUAGUAAUUCCUGGAAUUGAAGAUUGGGUGUAAUUAUGAUUCUGAGGGUAAUUCAGUGAUUUACGAUUUCAGAGUAUUUUAAUGAUUUACGGACUCGAGCUCAUUUUAGUAGUUUUACCGACACGGGAGUUGUAAAUUAUGGAUAGAUGUUCGUUUCGAGUUUAUUGCAUAAAUUUAGUCGUAAUUCCGAUUUACAAAAAUAAUUGUGUCGUUUCCUUUAUUUAGGAGGAUCCGCGAGCGAGAACCGGUCCGCGGACGUGGACAAUAACCGAGUAUGAGCACCGUCACUGUGAGUGGAAUAUACAAAACCUAUUUUCAUAGUUAUAUGAUAGUAAAGCAUGUUUGCGAAAUAAGUAUUUUAAAUGUUCUGAUUUAAUGAUUCCCUCGAAAUGGAUUUUAUUCACGUAUUGGUAUUUUAUUAAACUGUUUGGUUAAUGAUUCUGCGUAUCGACUUUGAAUAAAGUAUGAUAGUAUUUUAAAGACAAGAAAAGUGGAUUCAAAUGUGGUAUGAUUUAAAGUAUGGUUAAAAGGUAUGUGAAUAUGAGUAUAGUGAUUGUUUUUGAAAUCAUUAGACAGUACCCUUUCCUCCAGAUACAGUGAUACAGAUUAGAUGAGAGGCCUUUGGGGCCCGUCUGAACACACAUAGAGGCUUUGGGCUGUGUAUUUGGGCGAUUUUGCCUUUUGGGGGCAUAUGCAUGUGGUAUGAUGAUUACA
This 8956-nucleotide long non-coding RNA is filed under the name Citrus x clementina. Its description in RNAcentral is "Citrus clementina (C. clementina) long non-coding RNA (CCLE_LNC002642)". Lineage: Eukaryota; Viridiplantae; Streptophyta; Magnoliopsida; Sapindales; Rutaceae. The record is from RNAcentral.